Molecule: ribosomal RNA, 289 nt
Filed under: Escherichia coli
Lineage: Bacteria; Pseudomonadati; Pseudomonadota; Gammaproteobacteria; Enterobacterales; Enterobacteriaceae
Description: partial 16S ribosomal RNA
Rfam family: Bacterial small subunit ribosomal RNA
Source: RNAcentral
AAAUUGAAGAGUUUGAUCAUGGCUCAGAUUGAACGCUGGCGGCAGGCCUAACACAUGCAAGUCGAACGGUAACAGAAAGCAGCUUGCUGCUUUGCUGACGAGUGGCGGACGGGUGAGUAAUGUCUGGGAAACUGCCUGAUGGAGGGGGAUAACUACUGGAAACGGUAGCUAAUACCGCAUAACGUCGCAAGACCAAAGAGGGGGACCUUCGGGCCUCUUGCCAUCGGAUGUGCCCAGAUGGGAUUAGCUUGUUGGUGGGGUAACGGCUCACCAAGGCGACGAUCUCUAG